RNAcentral lists this ribosomal RNA (1250 nucleotides) under 'Prunus persica' witches'-broom phytoplasma. RNAcentral describes it as "bacterial SSU rRNA". It matches the Rfam family "Bacterial small subunit ribosomal RNA", at positions 153 to 1399 of the family's 1533-position model. The record is from RNAcentral. Lineage: Bacteria; Bacillati; Mycoplasmatota; Mollicutes; Acholeplasmatales; Acholeplasmataceae.
GAAACAGUUGCUAAGACUGGAUAGGAAAUUAAAAGGCAUCUUUUAAUUUUUAAAAGACCUUUUUCGGAAGGUAUGCUUAAAGAGGGGCUUGCGCCACAUUAGUUAGUUGGUAAGGUAAAGGCUUACCAAGACGAUGAUGUGUAGCUGGACUGAGAGGUUGAACAGCCACAUUGGGACUGAGACACGGCCCAAACUCCUACGGGAGGCAGCAGUAAGGAAUUUUUGGCAAUGGAGGAAACUCUGACCGAGCGACGCCGCGUGAACAAUGAAGUACUUCGGUAUGUAAAGUUCUUUUAUUGAAAAAGAAAAAAUAGUGGAAAAACUAUCUUGACAUUAUUCAAUGAAUAAGCCCCGGCUAAUUAUGUGCCAGCAGCCGCGGUAAUACAUAAGGGGCGAGCGUUAUCCGGAAUUAUUGGGCGUAAAGGGUGCGUAGGCGGUUUGAUAAGUCUAUAGUUUAAUCGCAGUGCUUAACGCUGUACCGCUAUAGAAACUGUCUGACUAGAGUUAGAUAGAGGCAAGCGGAAUUCCAUGUGUAGCGGUAAAAUGCGUAAAUAUAUGGAGGAACACCAGAGGCGUAGGCGGCUUGCUGGGUCUUAACUGACGCUGAGGCACGAAAGCGUGGGGAGCAAACAGGAUUAGAUACCCUGGUAGUCCACGCCGUAAACGAUGAGUACUAAGUGUCGGGUUUUGGCUCGGUACUGAAGUUAACACAUUAAGUACUCCGCCUGAGUAGUACGUACGCAAGUAUGAAACUUAAGGGAAUUGACGGGACCCCGCACAAGCGGUGGAUCAUGUUGUUUAAUUCGAAGAUACACGAAAAACCUUACCAGGUCUUGACAUAAUUUUGCGACAUUAUAGAAAUAUAAUGAAGGUUAUCAGAAUUACAGGUGGUGCAUGGUUGUCGUCAGCUCGUGUCGUGAGAUGUUAGGUUAAGUCCUAAAACGAGCGCAACCCUUGUCGUUAGUUGCGACCACAUAAUGGUGAGCACUUUAGCGAGACUGCCAAUGAAAAAUUGGAGGAAGGUGAGGAUUACGUCAAAUCAUCAUGCCCCUUAUGAUCUGGGCUACAAACGUGAUACAAUGGCUGUUACAAAGAGUAGCUACAACGUGAGUUUUUAGCCAAUCUCAAAAAAACAGUCUCAGUUCGGAUUGAAGUCUGCAACUCGACUUCAUGAAGUUGGAAUCGCUAGUAAUCGCGAAUCAGCAUGUCGCGGUGAAUACGUUCUCGGGGUUUGUACACACCGCCCGUCA